UCUCCCCACCUUGAGUCCCAACUCCCAACCUCAGAUAACGUCAGUGCUUGACUUGGGCAGGAGCUAAGUACCGGCACCUCAAAUGUUCUAUUGCUUGAGCUCAUGUUCCUCUUACAGAAUAUUAGCUCAAAAGUAUUGUGGAGCUCCUGCACCUAAAUAUAAACAGUAACGGCACCCAACUAGAGUACAUAGCGUGUUUUCCUUUGAGAUGGGUAUCGACAUUGCAUUACUCCUACAUCUACAUCUGAUUUUAGACUAGACUACAUUGACAACUAAACAAUCACACUGUCACAUAAUUAUUCUACCAGUAUCAUUCAUAUUCAUAUAGUAUGAAAUCCAUCAGCCAAUAGAGCAUUUGUCUCUGUAUCAAUUUACAUAUGCAUUGUCACAACAUGUGGCAUGAAUUCCCUGUACUGUAUUCCUAUUCAAAUUCAAUCAAACCAUGAUUAUUACCAAAGCCACCUUAUUGCCAUGCUGCUAUAUGCAGGUUUGUGGCUUAGCUCCCUUUAAGCAAAUAUUUAUCCCAGCCAAGAUGACUGUAUUGCAGUUUGUGAUUAUAUAUGGGCUUGUGAGAGGAGUGUGUCAACUGUGCAUGAUACACAAUGUGCCUGGAGAGAUUGAUAUUUUGUCAUCCACCUGCUUCAAAGCUGUAAAACCCAGCAGGCAGCAGCAAACGGAGAGACCUUCCGAGGCUGGAAAACCCAAACAAAGAGAGACCUUACUGGUGCUGUUUACACAUCUUUGUGGAGGAGUAUGUGGGCUUGUGUGUUUUGAUGCCACGCUCAAAUGGCUGAAGGGUUCCUGUCUCAGUGAAACGGAAGAUGGAGAGGAGUUGGAUGCUGGAGAGUGAGUGAGCGAGCCCUGGUGAGCCCUGGACGGAGGGAUCUGCAGGAGGAGAGGAAAGAGGGAUGCGAGUUGGGAGAGUAAUGUGGAGAGAGACAGAAAGUAGAGACAGAGAAAAGAGAGAGAGAGCAGGAGGAAAUUGGGGAAUUUAAACAGUGUGUGUUAUCUUAAGUGUUUUAUUUAUGUUGAACAGUUCCGGGAGAGGCUUGGAUUCCUGCUGAAAGAGGGCAUGCUGUCUCUGUAGUGUAGUGUAGAUGACUGAGAUUUCUUUGAUCACCUUGGUAACCCUCUCCCAAUAGGACUGCUGCUGGUGAAUUGUUGCUGAUCUCAGAUCAGAAUUUGGCUGGUCUGACUGUGUAGUUUAUUGUCUACUGGAUGUGGUCAUGGCUGCUUGGAGGUCAGUUCAUUAGCACUCAGUCUGUCCUCAAGCACAAGUGGAUAGAGAGACAUGUGAAUAUUCCACAGGUUACAUGAAUUAGUUAGUUUCUGGGAUUGGUAGAAGAAAAUGCUUCCCAUUGUUGUGUUUGUGAUCCAUUUUCAGAUUAACAAAAUCAUAUCAUUCGUUGGUAUAUUAUCAGUCAGCUACCUAAAAACAUUGAAAGUUUUACUUUUAUUUUAAUUUGCAUCUACAAUUAACAUUUUUUGAAUGAUUUGUCACUUGCUUGAGUUAAUUCUAUAAUACAUUUGAUUGGCGUCUAAUCUUGUUGGGGUAAGGGACAUGUUGCAGUGAGGAGAGCGUUGCAGUUGCACAUGCCGACCAAAAGAGGGCAACAUGAUGUCAGAAUUCCUGUUCUGGGUCCUCAAUGGGAUUGUAGGUGUCAGGUUAAACGUGUAAGUAACAAUAAUUUACAUUUACGCUGGAACGGUUUCCCCCGCGCUGUCAGUCUGCAGUUCAAAGCGCCUUCCAUCCUCCUGGCAACAAAGCAUCGCAUUGUCACAUGGCGGAGAUAGCAAGCUUGGGAUGAAGUUCUUCACAGUCCAGGUGUCAUUAUGAAAGACCUUGCCUUGCCGUGGAAGCGAAUCAAAACAAAGGGGAAAUUAAAUGUGCUACUCUCUUCCUCCUGGAACCAUCGCGGCUGCCUGGCUGGGCCUCAGCCAAGGACGUCUGGAUGUGAAAGGAACCACCUUAUAUUGUCUUACUUUUAUUUCUCUUCUCGUCUGAGUUUCAGGUUUUGUGAUGAUCAUAUUUAAGAUGUGUCAUUAUCUUUAUCAUUGUUGUUCAUGGAAGCUCUGAGAAAUUGGAGAAAUCUCCAAGUCUUCUACAAAAUUUCUGCUUUUACAAAACACAACACAUUCAGAUUAGAGCAGUCCAGUUGAUGUGAUCUUUGAUUGGUACAGUUGUGGUCUGAUUGCUAAAGAAUGUUAGGAUAUAAUGGUGAGAAUAGUUUUAUUGAUGUCCAUCAACACGCCCCCUUAGUGAAAUUGUUUUUCGCAGACUACUAUCCCUCUAUAUCAUGAAACCUCUUACCACAGUGGUUAGAGCAUUGGACCAGUAACCAAAAGGUUGCUGGAUCAAAUCCUCGAGCUGACAAGGUAAAAAUAUCUUGUUCUACCCCUGAGCACGGAAGUUAACCCACUGUUCCCCGGGCGCAGAAGACGUGGAUGUCGAUUAUGGCAGCCCCCCGCACCUCUCUGAUUCAGAGGGGUUGGGUUAAACGUGGAAGACACAUUUCAAUUGAAUGCAUUCAGUUGUACAACUGACUAGGUAUCCCCCUUUCCCUUCUUCCCUCCUCCUUGGGGGAGAGUGAUAGCCCUCUUUGUCACAGUGCUCUGCCUUUGUUCCCUGCCAGGGGCUGCCUGCUGGAAACACGGUGGCAGGGUCAGUGGUAGUUCGAUAUCUGGCCAGAAGAGGGUAAGGUGCCCUGGCAUGGGGAGGUACUGUAGUUCAAGAGAGAAAUGGUACAGUAGUGGUAUGACAUUUUACAAACCACAGGCAUGUUCUGACUAGAACAUGCAAAGAAAACAUCAGGCAACAUGUACAAUAUAUAUAUUUUUAAAUUAAAUUCCUUAUUAUGGUUAUAAUUAUGAUUAUUAAAUGAUGAUUAUUAAAGGUAUU
Molecule: long non-coding RNA, 2899 nt
Organism: Oncorhynchus kisutch (coho salmon)
Lineage: Eukaryota; Metazoa; Chordata; Actinopteri; Salmoniformes; Salmonidae
Source: Ensembl